Molecule: ribosomal RNA, 272 nt
Filed under: uncultured bacterium
Lineage: Bacteria
Description: partial 16S ribosomal RNA
Rfam family: Bacterial small subunit ribosomal RNA
Source: RNAcentral
GGAGGGUGCAAGCAUUAAUCGGAUUUAUUGGGCGUAAAGGGCGCGUAGGCGGGAGUGCCAGUCAGAUGUGAAAUCCCGGGGCUCAACCCCGGAACAGCAUUUGAAACUACACUUCUUGAGGGUAGGCGGAGAAAACGGAAUUCCACAAGUAGCGGUGAAAUGCGUAGAUAUGUGGAAGAACACCGGUGGCGAAGGCGGUUUUCUAGCUUAUUCCUGACGCUAAAGCGCGAAAGCAAGGGGAUCAAACAGGAUUAGAUACCCUGGUAGUCCUC